AGCUUCUGCUGGAAGCAGAGCUGCAGGUGUGAAGAGUCCAGGCCUUUGGUCACCCUGGCUCACGCACAGCACGCCUCCUGCUGCACACAGCUGUCACCCCACAGAGAGCUCUCCCCUUGGGAGGAAGGAUGUGCUCAUCCCUCUGAGUCCUCCCCCUAGGAAGGCAUGCUCCUCCCUCCUCACUGGUGAGAGGCGCUGGCCCCGGGGGAUGGACACGGAGGGGUGGGGGCAGGGAGCUCUGCGUUUACCACACAGACUCGCUCUCAUGCGGGUCCCACUGCUAGACUCCAAGCUAGACGAGGACAGAUCGUUCAGUAGACGUGAAGGGCCUGCCCAGUCAGGGAUGUUCCAGGUGCUGCAGAGCCAGUUAAACCAGGUAUGGUCCCGGCCACCAAGGAUUUGAGGCCACAGAGAGUAAAGGGCAAGAAAGCCAUUCAGGAACUCAGGACCUCUGAGAACCCACUCUUUGGUAUGUAAAAAAGAGAACGGAGGGGUGGCUGGGUGGCUCAAUCAGUUAAGCAUCUGCCUUCCGUUCCGGUCAUGAUCCUGGGGGUUCUGGGAUCGAGUCCCACUUCGGGCUCCCGGCUCGCUGGAGAGCCUGCUUCUCCUCUCCCUCUGCCCCUCCCUACCGCUUGUGCUCGCUCGCUUGCUCACUCUGGCUCUAUUUCCAAUAAGUAAGUAAAAAUCUUAAAACAAAAAAAAAGAGAGAGAACUGAUCAUGAAUUCCAAGAGUUGGUUGUUAAGGUAAAUAAUAGGUUUGGGGUUUCAAAAUUCGCUUCAGGAAGAGGCUGGUGAAACCCAAAUCCCCAUCACUGUCCCAGUCACUGCCCAGGCCUAUUUCUCCCCCGAGCUUAUCAUUGUUUACACGACUGCUUCAAAUUUCAUAAACCCUAGUGUCCAUUCCACCAGGAUUCAUGGAUCCAAAAUAAUGGAGUCCAUGAAGAAUCUUGGUUUUUUUGUGUUUUGUUUUGAGAGCGAGGGGGAGAGGCACAGGGGGAGAGCGAAUAUCAAGCAGAUUCCACGCCAGCGCGAGCCUGACACGGAACUCGAUCUCACAAACCUGAGAUCAUGACCUGAACCAAUAUCAAGUGUCGGAGGCUCAACCAAGCCACCCGGGUACCCCAGAAGCAUCUUAUUUUCUGAUCCUGGAUCCCCUGGGCUCUGGACCAUCUAACUUUUUAACGACUGUGCCACCCAGGCGCCCCAGGACCAUCUAACUUUUUAAAGCCUCCAGUUUGUUACCCAUCCCUUCCAAUACUUGAGACACUGCAAAAUUCAGACACCGGUGGGCCAGGCAGGUAGCUUACCAGGGGCCAGGUGAGGAUAUGGCCAACUGAAGGGCUUAGGCUCGCAGUGGCCCUUGUUUCCCUGUGGGACUGAGGAUUUACUCAGUGUUGCCAAAU
RNAcentral lists this long non-coding RNA (1403 nucleotides) under Ursus maritimus (polar bear). Its description in RNAcentral is "lncRNA (ENSUMAG00000014341.1)". Lineage: Eukaryota; Metazoa; Chordata; Mammalia; Carnivora; Ursidae. The record is from RNAcentral.